UUAAGCGACUAAGCGUACACGGUGGAUGCCCUGGCAGUCAGAGGCGAUGAAGGACGUGCUAAUCUGCGAUAAGCGUCGGUGAGGUGAUAUGAACCGUUAUAACCGGCGAUUUCCGAAUGGGGAAACCCAGUGUGUUUCGACACACUAUCAUUAACUGAAUCCAUAGGUUAAUGAGGCGAACCGGGGGAACUGAAACAUCUAAGUACCCCGAGGAAAAGAAAUCAACCGAGAUUCCCCCAGUAGCGGCGAGCGAACGGGGAGGAGCCCAGAGCCUGAAUCAGUGUGUGUGUUAGUGGAAGCGUCUGGAAAGGCGUGCGAUACAGGGUGACAGCCCCGUACACAAAAAUGCACAUAUUGUGAGCUCGAUGAGUAGGGCGGGACACGUGGUAUCCUGUCUGAAUAUGGGGGGACCAUCCUCCAAGGCUAAAUACUCCUGACUGACCGAUAGUGAACCAGUACCGUGAGGGAAAGGCGAAAAGAACCCCGGCGAGGGGAGUGAAAAAGAACCUGAAACCGUGUACGUACAAGCAGUGGGAGCCUCUUAAUGGGGUGACUGCGUACCUUUUGUAUAAUGGGUCAGCGACUUAUAUUCUGUAGCAAGGUUAACCGAAUAGGGGAGCCGAAGGGAAACCGAGUCUUAACUGGGCGUUAAGUUGCAGGGUAUAGACCCGAAACCCGGUGAUCUAGCCAUGGGCAGGUUGAAGGUUGGGUAACACUAACUGGAGGACCGAACCGACUAAUGUUGAAAAAUUAGCGGAUGACUUGUGGCUGGGGGUGAAAGGCCAAUCAAACCGGGAGAUAGCUGGUUCUCCCCGAAAGCUAUUUAGGUAGCGCCUCGUGAAUUCAUCUCCGGGGGUAGAGCACUGUUUCGGCAAGGGGGUCAUCCCGACUUACCAACCCGAUGCAAACUGCGAAUACCGGAGAAUGUUAUCACGGGAGACACACGGCGGGUGCUAACGUCCGUCGUGAAGAGGGAAACAACCCAGACCGCCAGCUAAGGUCCCAAAGUCAUGGUUAAGUGGGAAACGAUGUGGGAAGGCCCAGACAGCCAGGAUGUUGGCUUAGAAGCAGCCAUCAUUUAAAGAAAGCGUAAUAGCUCACUGGUCGAGUCGGCCUGCGCGGAAGAUGUAACGGGGCUAAACCAUGCACCGAAGCUGCGGCAGCGACACUAUGUGUUGUUGGGUAGGGGAGCGUUCUGUAAGCCUGUGAAGGUGGCCUGUGAGGGUUGCUGGAGGUAUCAGAAGUGCGAAUGCUGACAUAAGUAACGAUAAAGCGGGUGAAAAGCCCGCUCGCCGGAAGACCAAGGGUUCCUGUCCAACGUUAAUCGGGGCAGGGUGAGUCGACCCCUAAGGCGAGGCCGAAAGGCGUAGUCGAUGGGAAACAGGUUAAUAUUCCUGUACUUGGUGUUACUGCGAAGGGGGGACGGAGAAGGCUAUGUUGGCCGGGCGACGGUUGUCCCGGUUUAAGCGUGUAGGCUGGUUUUCCAGGCAAAUCCGGAAAACCAAGGCUGAGGCGUGAUGACGAGGCACUACGGUGCUGAAGCAACAAAUGCCCUGCUUCCAGGAAAAGCCUCUAAGCAUCAGGUAACAUCAAAUCGUACCCCAAACCGACACAGGUGGUCAGGUAGAGAAUACCAAGGCGCUUGAGAGAACUCGGGUGAAGGAACUAGGCAAAAUGGUGCCGUAACUUCGGGAGAAGGCACGCUGAUAUGUAGGUGAAGCGACUUGCUCGUGGAGCUGAAAUCAGUCGAAGAUACCAGCUGGCUGCAACUGUUUAUUAAAAACACAGCACUGUGCAAACACGAAAGUGGACGUAUACGGUGUGACGCCUGCCCGGUGCCGGAAGGUUAAUUGAUGGGGUUAGCGGCAACGCGAAGCUCUUGAUCGAAGCCCCGGUAAACGGCGGCCGUAACUAUAACGGUCCUAAGGUAGCGAAAUUCCUUGUCGGGUAAGUUCCGACCUGCACGAAUGGCGUAAUGAUGGCCAGGCUGUCUCCACCCGAGACUCAGUGAAAUUGAACUCGCUGUGAAGAUGCAGUGUACCCGCGGCAAGACGGAAAGACCCCGUGAACCUUUACUAUAGCUUGACACUGAACAUUGAGCCUUGAUGUGUAGGAUAGGUGGGAGGCUUUGAAGUGUGGACGCCAGUCUGCAUGGAGCCGACCUUGAAAUACCACCCUUUAAUGUUUGAUGUUCUAACGUGGGCCCGUAAUCCGGGUUGCGGACAGUGUCUGGUGGGUAGUUUGACUGGGGCGGUCUCCUCCUAAAGAGUAACGGAGGAGCACGAAGGUUGGCUAAUCCUGGUCGGACAUCAGGAGGUUAGUGCAAUGGCAUAAGCCAGCUUGACUGCGAGCGUGACGGCGCGAGCAGGUGCGAAAGCAGGUCAUAGUGAUCCGGUGGUUCUGAAUGGAAGGGCCAUCGCUCAACGGAUAAAAGGUACUCCGGGGAUAACAGGCUGAUACCGCCCAAGAGUUCAUAUCGACGGCGGUGUUUGGCACCUCGAUGUCGGCUCAUCACAUCCUGGGGCUGAAGUAGGUCCCAAGGGUAUGGCUGUUCGCCAUUUAAAGUGGUACGCGAGCUGGGUUUAGAACGUCGUGAGACAGUUCGGUCCCUAUCUGCCGUGGGCGCUGGAGAACUGAGGGGGGCUGCUCCUAGUACGAGAGGACCGGAGUGGACGCAUCACUGGUGUUCGGGUUGUCAUGCCAAUGGCACUGCCCGGUAGCUAAAUGCGGAAGAGAUAAGUGCUGAAAGCAUCUAAGCACGAAACUUGCCCCGAGAUGAGUUCUCCCUGACUCCUUGAGAGUCCUGAAGGAACGUUGAAGACGACGACGUUGAUAGGCCGGGUGUGUAAGCGCAGCGAUGCGUUGAGCUAACCGGUACUAAUGAACCGUGAGGCUUAACCUU
Molecule: ribosomal RNA, 2902 nt
Filed under: Escherichia coli UMEA 3955-1
Lineage: Bacteria; Pseudomonadati; Pseudomonadota; Gammaproteobacteria; Enterobacterales; Enterobacteriaceae
Description: bacterial LSU rRNA
Rfam family: Bacterial large subunit ribosomal RNA
Source: RNAcentral